UUUGUACUUCCCUCCGUCUGGAAAUACAUGUCAUAGAAAUGAAUGAAUCUUGACUUAUGACUUAUUUUAGUUAUAGAUAUAUCCAUUAUAUCCAUUUUUGGGACAAGUAUUUUCGGACGGAGGGAGUAUGAU
RNAcentral lists this microRNA precursor (132 nucleotides) under Hordeum vulgare. Its description in RNAcentral is "microRNA MIR1122". It matches the Rfam family "MIR1120/MIR1122 microRNA precursor family". The record is from RNAcentral. Lineage: Eukaryota; Viridiplantae; Streptophyta; Magnoliopsida; Poales; Poaceae.